UAGGGAAUCUUCCGCAAUGGACGAAAGUCUGACGGAGCAACGCCGCGUGAGUGAAGAAGGUUUUCGGAUCGUAAAACUCUGUUGUCAGAGAAGAACAAGUUGGAGAGUAACUGCUCCAGCCUUGACGGUAUCUGACCAGAAAGCCACGGCUAACUACGUGCCAGCAGCCGCGGUAAUACGUAGGUGGCAAGCGUUGUCCGGAUUUAUUGGGCGUAAAGCGAGCGCAGGCGGUUCCUUAAGUCUGAUGUGAAAGCCCACGGCUCAACCGUGGAAGGUCAUUGGAAACUGGGGAACUUGAGUGCAGAAGAGGAGAGUGGAAUUCCAUGUGUAGCGGUGAAAUGCGUAGAUAUAUGGAGGAACACCAGUGGCGAAGGCGACUCUCUGGUCUGUAACUGACGCUGAGGCUCGAAAGCGUGGGGAGCAAACA
RNAcentral lists this ribosomal RNA (427 nucleotides) under uncultured bacterium. RNAcentral's name for it is "bacterial SSU rRNA". It matches the Rfam family "Bacterial small subunit ribosomal RNA", at positions 355 to 774 of the family's 1533-position model. The record is from RNAcentral. RNAcentral also lists the same sequence under 1 other name.